RNAcentral lists this long non-coding RNA (584 nucleotides) under Homo sapiens (human). RNAcentral's name for it is "non-protein coding lnc-CCR7-1:2". Lineage: Eukaryota; Metazoa; Chordata; Mammalia; Primates; Hominidae. The record is from RNAcentral.
CACAGACCUCAGUCCCAUAACCGUCCCUCCAGGGAAGAGGAUGGGGCAUGAAAGACCAGUGGAAGAAAUGGGAAUUCCUCAGGCUGAGGGAAUAAAAGGUCAUACUGUUAACUGCUCACUCUGCUGCCUCGAGGCUGGACUUUCAGACAUCCUACUUCUCAGCCCGGGAUUCUCUGUGCUGGACUCCACUUCUCACAUCUACAGGCCCUUUUGGGUGGUUGAUGAAGGACCUGGAAGCUGAUUUCCUAAGAGUGAAUAACUUGGUGCCCUGAAGCUGACCCCUCAUCCACUAUAAACUGUCGAUGCUGGGUUGGUAUAGUGCCUUUGGAAAGCAGUAAAGCAAUUACCAGCAAAAGGCAUGAAGCUCUUCCUCCCCCUUUGACCCAGUAAUCUCUUUCCCUGGGAAAUUAUUCCAAGGAAAUUAUCCAAACGAAGCCAAGUGUUAUCUGCAUACAUGUGUGCAUUGAAGUCUUUCUUUAAAGGUCAAAAACUGGGAACCACAAUAAGGAAGUGGUUUAAUAAACUGGGACAUCAACACAAUGGACAAUCAGGCCUGGAAAUCCACAGCUGUGUGACUGUGAUGG